UAUUCCAAACUGACUUGAGUAUUUUAUUGGGAUUGAAUUUUUAUCUCUGGUGACCACUAGUAUAAUAUAUUCAGUCAACAACCCUAAGUUUACCCUUAACAAUUUCAUCUAUUAAAAGAAAGCUUCCUCAAUUCUAGGGUGAGCAGUUCUCUAUUCUAGCAUUUUGCCACUUUGUCAUUCAGUCCUAUAUUAGAAAGAGAUAUCAAUUUGGAAUCAGUGGACCUGGAUUUAAUAAAUUGACUGAUUCCUUGAAUGUCACAAAGAUAUGGCCUUGGCCAAAGCAUUUAAACCCUCUAGAACUCAAUUUUUCUCAUCCACAAAAUGGAUGGGUUUGUGAAGAUUAAAUUUAACUCUUCCCUGAUUGUGAAAAUGAAAAUAAUUAACUCUCCCCUGAUUGUGAAGAUUAAAUUGUAACCCCUGCCUGUUUUUAGAUCUAAUCACCAAAAAUGUAAACAUUCCACUUAAUCAUUAAGUGGGAGUUCUGUGACCCACAUGUGUAAUAAUGGGUGAUGAAUUAGAAUUAAACUAACCACUGGGCAGUCUUAAAGCAAAGCUUCAGCUGUGCUUGGUAGAAGUAAAAUUAGGGGAAGAUGCAAGAAGUGGUGCAAAAGAAGCAUCUUUAAAAGUAGCUGUCACUUCCUGUGAGAGAGAGUUCUUCAUUCUUUGGAAGUGGAGACUGGAAACAAUUCUUCAUUCUUUGGAGUGGAGGCUGGACCCAAGACCCUGUUCCUGUUGAGGUUGUUCUAAAAUCGCUUCCUUUGAACUGACACAUGGUCUGGCAUAUUGGAAAGACCAUUGUCUUUGGAUCCCAUUGCUGCUUAUUAGCUGUGUGACAAUAGACAAGUCAUUUCUCUUCCUGAGGCUUUGGUUUCUUCACUUUAAGAUGAAGAGUCUUGACCUAGAUUACAUCAUAAAGAAGCUUUUGAACCUAAGAACCCAGGAGAUACUAGGAAUUCAUCUAUAGUUUUUGAGAUGACCUCCAUAGAGGGGGUUAAAUGAAUUCAUGUAGACUAAUGAAAUCAUGAAAAG
RNAcentral lists this long non-coding RNA (1029 nucleotides) under Monodelphis domestica (gray short-tailed opossum). Its description in RNAcentral is "lncRNA (ENSMODG00000049068.1)". The record is from RNAcentral. Lineage: Eukaryota; Metazoa; Chordata; Mammalia; Didelphimorphia; Didelphidae.